Molecule: unclassified non-coding RNA, 20 nt
Filed under: Chlamydomonas reinhardtii
Lineage: Eukaryota; Viridiplantae; Chlorophyta; Chlorophyceae; Chlamydomonadales; Chlamydomonadaceae
Description: small RNA Cre_3841
Source: RNAcentral
UUCGUGGAAAGCCAGGAGAC